This 289-nucleotide ribosomal RNA is filed under the name uncultured Acidobacteriota bacterium. RNAcentral describes it as "uncultured Acidobacteria bacterium partial 16S ribosomal RNA". Lineage: Bacteria; Pseudomonadati; Acidobacteriota. The record is from RNAcentral.
CUACUGGGGUAUCUAAUCCUGUUUGCUCCCCUAGCUUUCGUUCCUCAGCGUCAGUAGUGGUCCAGCGCGCCGCUUUCGCCACGGGUGUUCCUGCAGAUAUCUACGCAUUUCACCGCUACACCUGCAAUUCCACGCGCCUCUCCCACACUCAAGCACGGCAGUUUCGGAAGCAGCCUCUGGGUUGAGCCCAGAGAUUUCACUCCCGACUUGCCACACCGCCUACGAACCCUUUACACCCAGUAAUUCCGAACAACGCUGGCCCCCUACGUCUUACCGCGGCUGCUGGCAC